AUGGUGCUUUCAAUCUUGAACGUUUUAGGUCUACAUCUUUCUGAUGAUGCUGUCGAAGAUGAUCAGAUAUUCGAGGAGACAGACUUGAACAACAACGGGAUCAAAUUCGUUCAUCCAUUGGAUCGAUCAUGGAUGGCUAGAUCUGCAGCUCUGGGGUUAACCUGCCGCUGUACAUCCCUGUGUUGGCUCCAUGUUCCUCCACAUCCCUUGACUGUUGACUCCACCCACCAACGCAACCGCCUGUUCCCCUUCCCCUUCCACUUCUUUUCCCCAACCAAUUCGGCCUCCGCUGCUCCAUCUUCUUUGGUUUCCUACCGGAACUACCACCGUUGUGAGACGCCGACUCCCGCACGCACCAGUCCAUCUUCUUUGGUUCUCCUACGGAACUACCACCGGUGUGAGACGCCGGCUCCCGCACGCACCAGUCCAUCUUCUUUGGUUCUCCUACCGGAACUACCACCGGUGUGA
This 468-nucleotide ribosomal RNA is filed under the name Triticum aestivum (bread wheat). RNAcentral describes it as "partial small subunit ribosomal RNA". Lineage: Eukaryota; Viridiplantae; Streptophyta; Magnoliopsida; Poales; Poaceae. The record is from RNAcentral.